UUGGUAGAAGCCAAAAAGAGGCGUAUCACUGUUAAUGAUAUAAUUGAAGUUUCACUUUCCUAUCAAG
RNAcentral lists this transfer RNA (67 nucleotides) under Dotilla wichmanni. RNAcentral describes it as "tRNA-Asn". Lineage: Eukaryota; Metazoa; Arthropoda; Malacostraca; Decapoda; Dotillidae. The record is from RNAcentral.